GAUGAACGCUGGCGGCGUGCCUAAUACAUGCAAGUCGAGCGAACGGACGAGAAGCUUGCUUCUCUGAUGUUAGCGGCGGACGGGUGAGUAACACGUGGAUAACCUACCUAUAAGACUGGGAUAACUUCGGGAAACCGGAGCUAAUACCGGAUAAUAUUUUGAACCGCAUGGUUCAAAAGUGAAAGACGGUCUUGCUGUCACUUAUAGAUGGAUCCGCGCUGCAUUAGCUAGUUGGUAAGGUAACGGCUUACCAAGGCAACGAUGCAUAGCCGACCUGAGAGGGUGAUCGGCCACACUGGAACUGAGACACGGUCCAAACUCCUACGGGAGGCAGCAGUAGGGAAUCUUCCGCAAUGGGCGAAAGCCUGACGGAGCAACCCCGCGUGAGUGAUGAAGGUCUUCGGAUCGUAAAACUCUGUUAUUAGGGAAGAACAUAUGUGUAAGUAACUGUGCACAUCUUGACGGUACCUAAUCACAAAGGCACGGCUAACUACGUGCCCGCAGCCCCGGUAAUACGUAGGUGGCAAGCGUUAUCCGGAAUUAUUGGGCGGUAAAGCGCGCGUAGGCGGUUUUUUAGUCUGAUGUGAAAGCCCACGGCUCAACCGUGGAGGGCCAUUGGAAACUGGAAAACUUGAGUGCAGAAGAGGAAAGUGGAAUUCCAUGUGUAGCGGUGAAAUGCGCAGAGAUAUGGAGGAACACCAGUGGCGAAGGCGACUUUCUGGUCUGUAACUGACGCUGAUGUGCGAAAGCGUGGGGAUCAAACAGGAUUAGAUACCCUGGUAGUCCACGCCGUAAACGAUGAGUGCUAAGUGUUAGGGGGUUUCCGCCCCUUAGUGCUGCAGCUAACGCAUUAAGCACUCCGCCUGGGGAGUACGACCGCAAGGUUGAAACUCAAAGGAAUUGACGGGGACCCGCACAAGCGGUGGAGCAUGUGGUUUAAUUCGAAGCAACGCGAAGAACCUUACCAAAUCUUGACAUCCUUUGACAACUCUAGAGAUAGAGCCUUCCCCUUCGGGGGACAAAGUGACAGGUGGUGCAUGGUUGUCGUCAGCUCGUGUCGUGAGAUGUUGGGUUAAGUCCCGCAACGAGCGCAACCCUUAAGCUUAGUUGCCAUCAUUAAGUUGGGCACUCUAAGUUGACUGCCGGUGACAAACCGGAGGAAGGUGGGGAUGACGUCAAAUCAUCAUGCCCCUUAUGAUUUGGGCUACACACGUGCUACAAUGGACAAUACAAAGGGCAGCGAAACCGCGAGGUCAAGCAAAUCCCAUAAAGUUGUUCUCAGUUCGGAUUGUAGUCUGCAACUCGACUACAUGAAGCUGGAAUCGCUAGUAAUCGUAGAUCAGCAUGCUACGGUGAAUACGUUCCCGGGUCU
RNAcentral lists this ribosomal RNA (1372 nucleotides) under uncultured bacterium. RNAcentral's name for it is "bacterial SSU rRNA". It matches the Rfam family "Bacterial small subunit ribosomal RNA", at positions 28 to 1381 of the family's 1533-position model. The record is from RNAcentral.